CUGGUGCGAGGGUGCUACGCUGAAACACCCAGACGCAAGUCAAAAUAGCGUCCAAUGUCAGAACGCUGCUCUUGCUAGCAUUUUUAGCCGGAUGGAGUCCGGACGCUAUCCUUGAUAGCAUGCAAAGUGUUUGUAGUUCAAGUCUAGCCGUCAAGUCUAGCAACGAAUCUCUGCACGUGAGUUUGAAGAACAGUUUGAACACCGAACGCUUCUUUAAUUGGAGUCCCGAGCUGCGACAUUCUGCACAUCGGACACGAUUUAUAUUGGCUUCCAAACUGUGCAACUUCCACUACCCCUUAACCAACGCUCUCAUUUACAGCACUCUCUCGUCCCUCUCAUUUACAGCACUCUCUCGUCC
RNAcentral lists this unclassified non-coding RNA (358 nucleotides) under Hevea brasiliensis (rubber tree). Lineage: Eukaryota; Viridiplantae; Streptophyta; Magnoliopsida; Malpighiales; Euphorbiaceae. The record is from RNAcentral.